UUAACUCAGAUUUGUAUAGAGUUCGAACGUUUGCCGCUAGGGGCGCUGUUUCAACUGCAUACAAAUUUGAGUUA
Molecule: microRNA precursor, 74 nt
Filed under: Bombyx mori (domestic silkworm)
Lineage: Eukaryota; Metazoa; Arthropoda; Insecta; Lepidoptera; Bombycidae
Description: mir-2807 microRNA precursor family
Rfam family: mir-2807 microRNA precursor family
Source: Rfam by way of RNAcentral